ACAAUAUAAUGUUCCCAGCUGAGAGUUUGGAAUUUGUUAUUGUACAUUAAUGACUGAGAGAUAAGCAUGUGGCAAGGGGGCCACUUCUUCUUAUUUGUUGACUAGGGGACACAGAACAGUAUUACUGCCGCUGAAUUAUUUUUAACUAAUAUACAUAAAUAUUCAUGGAACACACAUGAAUUAAAUUACAAAGGCAUCUGUUACACCAUGAGGGACUCAGUGCUACAAUGGGCACUUAAUGCUCAAUUGGAAAACAACAUCUAAAAAACCCCUCUCAACCCAAUCCCUCUUCAAGUGGAUAAGAUACUAAAAUUUAUAAUAAAUCCCUGGUGGAGAUCACUGAAAUAUUAAGCAUAAUGAGCUUAUGAAGAAAAAGUGGAUAGGCGGUUAUAGCCUGAAUUUUUGCAAUUUCCUUUACUUUCAUAAACUGGAUACCAGAAAACAACAAAGCACAAAUAUUCUUACUGCAGCUGUUCUUCCUAUUUGAAAUGGCAACACUUGCAAUGGAGGAAAUUGAACUUCAGCUAGAUGGGAUUUGGGUCCUUGAUUGCUUGUCUGGAUACAUCUCCACUUUUCAGUGUGAGGCUCUCUUUUCAGUAAAGAGACUGCAGGCUAUGGGGAUUUCCUCAUCCUUCUGGACUUGUACCUCCUCCCUACUCAUCUGUUGUCUCAGUUCAGGAACUGAGGGUGAGGGUAGUGGCAAUCUUUGCAGGAUACCUUGCCUUUCAACAGCUAUCAUGUGCUGGAAAAUGGAGAAAAGGUGCUGAUCUCCAACAUGUAAGCCAAAGAUCUUCUGGCACAUAGAGUCAUGGAGAGAAACAGCAGCACUCAAAUAAUCUGCUGGAAAUCUCUCUUUCUCCAUGAUUUAAAUGCUCCUCAAGAUGCUUCUGGCCUGGAAAAAAAAGAAAAAAGAAAAAAAAAAAGUAAUAGAAGAAAAUGAAAGAAAAAGAAAAAAAAUAAGGAAAAAAGGAAAAAAAUAAGGAAAAAAAAAAGAAAAAAUAAAAAAAAAAAGAGAAGAAAAGGAAGGAAGAAA
This 1033-nucleotide long non-coding RNA is filed under the name Anas platyrhynchos platyrhynchos (common mallard). RNAcentral describes it as "lncRNA (ENSAPLG00000027281.1)". The record is from RNAcentral. Lineage: Eukaryota; Metazoa; Chordata; Aves; Anseriformes; Anatidae.